Molecule: ribosomal RNA, 716 nt
Filed under: Halomonas sp. MMRF607
Lineage: Bacteria; Pseudomonadati; Pseudomonadota; Gammaproteobacteria; Oceanospirillales; Halomonadaceae
Description: bacterial SSU rRNA
Rfam family: Bacterial small subunit ribosomal RNA
Source: RNAcentral
CACGAUCCGUAGCUGGUCUGAGAGGAUGAUCAGCCACAUCGGGACUGAGACACGGCCCGAACUCCUACGGGAGGCAGCAGUGGGGAAUAUUGGACAAUGGGGGCAACCCUGAUCCAGCCAUGCCGCGUGUGUGAAGAAGGCCCUCGGGUUGUAAAGCACUUUCAGCGAGGAAGAACGCCUAGCGGUUAAUACCCGCUAGGAAAGACAUCACUCGCAGAAGAAGCACCGGCUAACUCCGUGCCAGCAGCCGCGGUAAUACGGAGGGUGCAAGCGUUAAUCGGAAUUACUGGGCGUAAAGCGCGCGUAGGUGGCUUGAUAAGCCGGUUGUGAAAGCCCCGGGCUCAACCUGGGAACGGCAUCCGGAACUGUCAAGCUAGAGUGCAGGAGAGGAAGGUAGAAUUCCCGGUGUAGCGGUGAAAUGCGUAGAGAUCGGGAGGAAUACCAGUGGCGAAGGCGGCCUUCUGGACUGACACUGACACUGAGGUGCGAAAGCGUGGGUAGCAAACAGGAUUAGAUACCCUGGUAGUCCACGCCGUAAACGAUGUCGACCAGCCGUUGGGUGCCUAGCGCACUUUGUGGCGAAGUUAACGCGAUAAGUCGACCGCCUGGGGAGUACGGCCGCAAGGUUAAAACUCAAAUGAAUUGACGGGGGCCCGCACAAGCGGUGGAGCAUGUGGUUUAAUUCGAUGCAACGCGAAGAACCUUACCUACUCUUG